This 483-nucleotide ribosomal RNA is filed under the name uncultured bacterium. RNAcentral's name for it is "partial 16S ribosomal RNA". It matches the Rfam family "Bacterial small subunit ribosomal RNA", at positions 28 to 506 of the family's 1533-position model. The record is from RNAcentral.
AUUGAACGCUGGCGGCAUGCUUUACACAUGCAAGUCGAACGGCAGCGCGGGCUUCGGCCUGGCGGCGAGUGGCGAACGGGUGAGUAAUGCAUCGGAACGUGCCCAGUAGUGGGGGAUAGCCCGGCGAAAGCCGGAUUAAUACCGCAUGCGACCUGAGGGUGAAAGCGGGGGACCGAAAGGCCUCGCGCUAUUGGAGCGGCCGAUGUCGGAUUAGCUAGUUGGUGGGGUAAAGGCUUACCAAGGCGACGAUCCGUAGCUGGUCUGAGAGGACGUCCAGCCACACUGGGACUGAGACACGGCCCAGACUCCUACGGGAGGCAGCAGUGGGGAAUUUUGGACAAUGGGGGCAACCCUGAUCCAGCCAUGCCGCGUGCGGGAAGAAGGCCUUCGGGUUGUAAACCGCUUUUGUUCGGGAAGAAAUCCUCUGGGCUAAUACCCCGGGGGGAUGACGGUACCGGAAGAAUAAGCACCGGCUAACUACGU